Molecule: small RNA, 2954 nt
Filed under: Pongo abelii (Sumatran orangutan)
Lineage: Eukaryota; Metazoa; Chordata; Mammalia; Primates; Hominidae
Description: retained intron
Source: RNAcentral
AUUUUUAAAACCUCCUCUUUAAAGAUUUCCUCUUGAAGAGACAGCUCACUUUCUAGAUAGUCCUGUAUGGAAGUGGACUGCUGAAGAAAUUAGUGUUUCCAUUCCCCUCCACCGUCUCCCCCAUUUUUUCCGAACAUUUCUUUCUGUCUUUGUCCAUUUUCAUCGCUGAGCUGAAGAGCAUGCUUUAUCAGAAACCCUUUUGUCCCUUUUCUUUUCCAUGCUUAGAGGGAAGUUUCUGACUUGGCAGAAUGCCUUAGAGUUCUUGGGGUCUGAACUCCUCUGAUGCCUUCCAAAGUCACGUAGCUGUAAGACCCAGCGGGUGCCAGCCGGGAGGGUGACUCCAGCUCAGCAGCGUGUAUGGAAGUGCAUUGUGACCAUGAAGGAGACUGCCAGUGGCCAAGCCACCUAGUGAGCUCCCUACCAAGGAACCUGGGUGUCACCUGCAGGUGGCCAGGAGCCAGUUUUUAUGCCAGGCAGGGGACUGGUUGGACUCUAUUGAGGCUUCUUCCUGUCUGUGAGGAGCACUCCUGUCCCCCUCGUGGUAGGGAUACCUGUCACCCCAUGAAGGGGCAGGGUGAUGGGUGUUGGCCCCAUUUUAGGCAGACUUGGGUGUCAUGACUUCUAGUUCACUUGUUUUAAACCUACCAGUGAUGGCAGCUGCAGCAUGCUGCCCUCUUGACACACUGCUGGAGCCCAGAGUACGGGUCAGAGUCCCAGCCGGAGCCCCUUCCCCAGGCAGUACCUGACAAGGAUACCUGGGAUUGGGGCCAGCUUUCCAGUCAGAUGCCACGCUUCCUUUGCCCACUGCCACGGGGCGCUAGGGCCUGCCUCAGGCUCUCCUGUGAGGGAGAACGACCUCUGCAGGCCCCUCUGCCUUCCUGCUCCCUAAUUGACCCUUUCUCUGGCAGGUGAGGUGAUAAAGCACGGGGACCUGAAAUGCGUGUGCGAUGAAGGAAUGCCCAUCUACAAAGCACCCCUGGAAAAAGGGAUUCUGAUCAUACAGUUUUUAGUAAUCUUUCCUGAAAAACACUGGCUUUCUCUGGAAAAGCUUCCUCAGCUGGAAGCUUUACUCCCUCCUCGACAGAAAGUGAGGAUUACAGAUGACAUGGAUCAGGUGGAGCUGAAGGAGUUUUGUCCCAAUGAGCAGAACUGGCGUCAGCACAGGGAGGCCUACGAGGAGGACGAAGACGGGCCCCGGGCUGGAGUGCAGUGCCAGACGGCAUGAUGUGGUGCGGGGCAGCGUGGCCCCACCGGACUAGCACAUGAUGAAUGUAAAGUUGGCACAAUGAAAAUGGCAUCGCUUUAAUGGCCUCGUGUUUGGGAUGUCCUGUGUAUGUGUUCAGCAUUCUUAAUUGCUGAGUGUCUUUUUGGUUUUUCUUUUGGUUGUAACUUAAGUUAUAGCUUAAUUUAUAUUUAAAUGUUUUAAGUGUAAAUCACCUCUAGUCUGCAUAUGGAAUCUGUUCAUUUCUGUUUUCAGGAUAUACUUUUGAGAUGUCAGUGAUUGCACCAACACUUUGUGCUUCUAGUGGCUUUGCCAUAAUUCAGUGUCACCAAUAAAGCACAGCCCAGUUAGCAGCUUAGCCCCCUAGCAAACCCCAAGGCACAAAGUGGGCAUCCUGGCUCAUCCUAGGUCUGUGGUUUCUCCUCGCUCCCUUGGCAGAGUUAUUGAGGGCAUGAUCUCAGGGCUGCUAAGAUAACAUUUCUGAGGAUUCUGGAUGAUCCUCUUAAAGAAUAAAAGCACAUCCGUGGAUCAGACAUGGCUGCAUGUGCCUGCUUAACAGGGCCAACUUAGUUCCUACUGUUCUGUGCCCUUCAGUGGAUGGAAUGUGAGUGUCUGAUCAUCUCUCUUGGAAGUUUUCUGAAACUUCCAAGCUCUGUGGUGAGGACAAACCAGUGUUUUGAAUCAUAUGCUGAUAACUGUUUGCGUGUGACCCUCACACCUUGUUCUUCAGGGUUUUAAUGAUUUUCUGUUGACAACUUUUGCAAUGCUUUCCCACCAGAGUGCUUACUUGUAAAGAAAACUAAAUUCUGUGUCCCCGGCAGCCUCAGUGCAGCAACAGAAGCCCAGGGGGAAUGCUGCUGGUUUGGCCCAUGGCACAGCCAGCUUCUCUGACCAGUAAUCCGGGGUGACUUGAGGGUCUGCAAAGGCAUAGAACUCCGCAGUGUUUUCCACCUCAUUCUCCCAGAUUGAGCUCCCUUCCAAAGGAUCGUUCCUCUCAUUGCACAGCCAUAUUACAAAGGGCUUCCUGCUCGUGAUGUUUUGGUAAGAACUUCUCUGAGUUCCACUGUGGAUUACAGUUUAUAUGGACUACUACUGUAAAUUAUAGCUUGUUUGGAGGGAUAUUAGUCAUUAUUUUAUUCCUGACAGGUAGACUACAAUUCGAACUUAGGGUUACCUCAGUCUUUAGCCAUUACUGCUUAUUUGUUUUCCCCAAGUCACAAAAAACUUGUAAGCUGCUGGGUUAAAGCAGAGGCCACCUGUCAGAUCUUCCCUACCCUUAUUUGGUUACAUGGCACCUGAGAGUUUCACUCAGACCAGGGAUCUUCCUUAGGAGGGUCAAAGCGCAGAUCAGACCAUGCAGGUAAGGUGAACCAGCUGCAUGGACCAGAUUCCUGCAAAACAUUGCCAGCUAGUGAGGCAUAAUUUGCUCAAAGUAUAGAAACAGCCCACCUAUGCCCACUUUGACCAUUGGUCAGGAUAGAUAUAAAAUCACUUCUUCCAACGAAGCCUAUGUGAAAAUCUGUUUAUAAAUGGACCACAACUCUGGGGUGUCGUUUUUGUGCUGUGACUUCCUAAUUAUUGCUAAAGAACUACUGUUUAGUUGGUAAUGGAGUAAAAUGACGUUCAGCUCCUCCUUGUCAUGUAAGAGGAAUUUGGAGGAUGUUGCUUAAAAUUUUAUUCCACCUGUACAUUUGUCACUUUAAAAUUAAAAUUGAGCUAGUGUGAGAGACAA